Molecule: long non-coding RNA, 5980 nt
Filed under: Sorghum bicolor (sorghum)
Lineage: Eukaryota; Viridiplantae; Streptophyta; Magnoliopsida; Poales; Poaceae
Description: long non-coding RNA (SBIC_LNC018255)
Source: RNAcentral
GACGGUGUUCGUGAACGUGUGGGCGAUCGGGCGCGACCCGGCGUGCUGGGCGCCGGAUCCGCUGGCGUUCCGGCCGGAGCGGUUCCUGGAGGGUGGUGAAGGGAGAGGAGAUAGCGCGGGGCUGGACGUGCGCGGGCAGCACUUCCACCUGCUGCCGUUCGGGUCCGGGCGGCGGAUUUGCCCCGGCGCGUCGCUGGCCAUGCUCGUGGUGCAGGCGGCGCUGGCGGCCAUGCUGCAAUGCUUCGAGUGGGCGCCCGUCGGCGGCGCAACCGUGGACAUGGAGGAGGGGCCAGGGCUCACGCUCCCGCGAAAGCGCCCGCUCGUCUGCACCGUCAAGGCCAGGCUCCACCCAGUGCCGGUUCCCACUGCCGCUGCUGCUGAUAAUGGCGUGGACGGAACUCUCCAUUGUGCAUGACCAGUUCCAGGAACAUAUGAAGUCUUAUGUGUAACACUAAUAACUUCAAACAUUAUCUGCAUCAUGUGCUCGUGCUCAAGUACUGAAGUUUUGGAAGUUACUCAACUGGCAUAGCUGAAACAUAAAUGAGAACAAUUAGAGGACCACAAAACAUAACAACUAGAGAGUUGUGUACAGAAUACAAAAUGAUGACUACUCCUUGCAUUUUGCUUUGCCCACCAAUCUUCACUAGCAGAAAUACAUCUGGUCAUAGGAUCCCUUCCCAAACCAGUGGCUCUCAUGUUCAAUGUCUUCUGUUGUGAAUAUUUCUUCUUCAGUACAUCACAUAUGUUCUUUAUUUGGUCUUGGGUGUAUGACCUCAUUUUUCGGUCAAAGAACUUCUUUAAUAAAUCAACAUAACCCACACUAUUUAAGCAAUGUUGUGGCCUGUUAUGGGCAAGCACUUCUUCUAUGCACAUUUCAUUGAGAACUUUGGUGGCAAAAGGAUCCCAUUUUGCUGCAACCUUUGUUGUUUUUUCCCAUCAUAAAGAGAAACAAAUUUGAAUUUGUAGCAGCAAUAGAAGGCAACUCUAAGACCACUGAGGUCUACCGAGAAUACUACUGUCUACACUACUACCACAAAUUUGGCAAUCUUGACUAUCUACAGCAACCAUUUACUUGAUGAGCAAUGAACUAUGGAUUGGUUGCUCAACUUGGCGGCUUGGAGGCAGGCGGGACCUCGGAGGGAGGAGGUGGGUUGGUGGAGGAUGGCCAGAGUCUUGAGGAGGCAGGCAUCCUAGAGGAGGCCACCUGUCACGACCAAGAGCCGUUGCAACUAAAACCCUUUAAUAAAAAUCCUUUGAAAUUAUCCAAUAAAGGUUUUCAAAUUCUCAAAUGUAGCUUUAUCGGCUCCUAGCUUUCUCUGCUAGAACAAGGACUCCAAAUUUGUAUCUCAAUCCUUCUAAAUCUCUCAAAUCAAUCGGAGUCAAUGGUGAUCAAAUGAAGUCAAUGUCAAGAAAAUGCUCUCAGAGAGAUGCCCAUCAGGCAACAAGGAUUUCGUGGCUACUGAGUACUGAAUCACUCCCACUCACAGGUUGUGGAAGUUUUAGUGGGCUUGUGACCUCCUCUUCCUUCUCCAUACCCUUGUCCUCCACAUUCUUUUUCCAAGUUAAGGCAUCAUUGCCUGAACACGACGAGCACCACCAAUCACCUUGUAAAUCAUUGGAGCUUCUACUACUAGAUACUCUGCCAACCUAAGGACCACAUGAUUUCGCACCCCAAGAUCUCCAGUCUUGCAAACCCUCUCCUUUCUUCUUCUCGAGAAUGAACCGCAGGUCCCGUGAAAAUUGUUGUGGCUCACCUCUCUUGAGCGGUCAAGCCAGAUGCCACAAUGCUUAUCAAUAUGGCUAAUGUGACCACACGUGUAGCAAAAAUUCAGGAGAAACUCUAAACCCUAAACCCUAAACACCACUUCUCCCUCUCCUCACGCCCCCCUUCCCCUCCCCACCCAAAAAAAACACUGUUUCCAAAUGGGAUGAUCCAAAUAUGUUUACUAAUAGUCUCGACAAAAUAAACAUGACGACAGAGUCCAUUAUAUGCUUUGGCCACUUUUGGUUGUCAACAACUAGUUUGGAUUGGAUUGAAUUGCUCAGUUAUAGUUGGACUCAUUUUGGAUGGCUUCGAUUGGAUUUGAAUCUAGAUGCUUAACCAAGUUUACACAUGGAUCAUGGACCAUGUUAGAGCAACUCCAACAGUUUUGUAAAUUUUGUUUGGCAAAUAUUGUUAUUUACCAACUCCUAAAACGAUAUGGGGAGAGAACAAAAAGGACAUCUCCAAGUGUUUGGCAAUUUUGACUUGGCAAAAAUAAAAUUCUACCGGUUCGAAGAUCAACGAAGAAGCAUCAGGUUGUCAGCUUGCUAUAAAAGCACGCGCAUGCAGAAUGCCAAGCCUAUUCUAGGAGUGCAUAAAUGUCAAGAAAGGAGUAGAAUUUGCCAACUUGCUAUAAAUACCAAACCCAAUUGCCAAACUGUUGGAUAGGAGAUUUUGAGAGUUUUGACAAAAAACAAUAAUGACAAACCUAUUUACAAAACUGUUGGAGUUGCUCUACUAAGUCCUAAGGUUCAUUCAUACAAACUAGCCUGCCUGCACUUGCAAUUUUACAUUUUGCAGCUGCCGGCCUUUGCAGCCGGCCUCCGCUAUAAAACAAGACGAUGAUGAGUGGAUUAUGAUGCGUGCCGGAGCAGAAGUGUCUGCAUUAUUUUACCUGGUCAAAACGUUAACGCAAAGCUUGAUCCAUGUAUGUAAAGUCAGAUGCCUCGCAAGUUGCUACUUAGUAAAGGUGAUUGCAUUGUAUUAAUAUCAUUGUCUAUGAGUCUAUCACGCUCCGUUGAAUCUUUCCACUAUAUAAUAUAUGAUUAUGUGUUUGUGGUGCGAUGAUAGUAGGAAUAGGACACAACGACGCGGUAACAUCGGCUAGAAACAAACCAAUAGCCAUUGUUUGGACGUUGCUUCAAAAAGAAACUACAUGUAAUUUUAAAACCCAUUGAUGUGUCAAACUACAGUUUUUUUAAAAAAAAUGUCUAGAGCAGAGUUUUUAAAACUAAAAAAACCUACAUUGUUAGCAAUAUCAUGGAGUUUAAAACCAUAAAAUUUAUUACUUACAAACACUUUCAUGUCACUCUAGAACUAUAGUAUUUUAUAAAAUCAUAGUUUUUUUAAAAAACUCCAUAAGUAUUUUGUAUCCAGAAAUAGUAUUUUUGCUCUGAUAAAACAAAAAUUGCAUUGCGGUUAUUCGAUGAAGAGGAAACCACGGAUUCUUGAUCAAAUCCUGGCCAUAAUCAUAAAAAUCUAAAACAUAAAAUUGUAAAAACAUAGAUUUAUUUACUACAAUAGUAGAUUGGACACCUUAAUUAAGACCCUUUCUAAGAUGUAAAAUCAUAUGGUACGAUCAUGAAUCUGACAACUAUCAGGAUGUCUUAGAAUUUAGUUUAGAUUUUUGUUAUUCGGGGGUUGUUUGGUUGGUGAAAUUUUUUUGUUUCAGCUACUGUAGCAUUUUCGUUUGUAUUUAACAAUUAUUAUUUAAUUCUAGGCUAACUAGACUCAAAAGAUUCGUCUCGCAAAUUACAAGCGAACUAUACACUUAGUUAUUUUUUAUCUAUAUUUAAUGCUCAAUGCAUAUAUCGUAAGAUUCGAUGUGACAGAAAAAUCUUGAAAACGAACUAAACAGGCGUUGGAUUCAUCUAAGAUCUGCCAUAUAUUGAAAUCAUCAUCGAAAUUGGUUCACAUGCAAGGCAUCUUCCCCGUGUGCUGGUUGGUUCUGGGGGUGCAGGUCAAAGCAUCUGCUGUGCCAACAGUAACCAAUUGUCUCUAACACAUUAUAAAUUCGCAGUAAAACUUCACGUAGUCUCUCCGUCCUUCAAAUCUUAGAAACCAGGCAAGUUAUUUUUUUUUAAAUUUAACUAUAUUUUUAUAGAAAAAAGUGCCAACGUCUAUGAUAUAAAACAAGCACUCUAUUAAAACAUAUUCUAUAAUAAAUUUAAUGAUACUAAUUUGAUACUAAAAAUUUUAAUAUUUUAUUCUAAAAUUUCAACCAAAGUUUAAAAUUUGAACUUAAUACAAUUUUAAAAAUCUAUUUGUUUAGGGACAGAAAGAGUAUUAUAUAUCCACAGGUAAUUAAGUAUCAUUAGCAUAUAUAAGAGAAGUACUAUAUAAAUAUAACCCAUAAACCAGGGAGUAGACAGAUCUGAUAAGAGAAGCAGCACCUAGCGGCUAGAGCUCACUCGUCAACACUGGCAGGCAGAGAGGAAGUCACCAUGGAAGUGACCACGGCACGAGAUCAGCUCGUCAUCAACCCCACGGCUCUCCCCAUUCUACUCCUCGUUGCCGGCCUCACCGUCCUCUACAUGCGGAGCCGCCGGGGCAGCGCCAACGGCGGCCUUCGCCUCCCCCCGAGCCCAUUCGCGCUGCCCGUCCUAGGCCACCUCCACCUCCUAGCCCCGCUACCACACCAGGCGCUGCACCGGCUGGCAGCCCGCCACGGGCCGCUCCUGUACCUUCGCCUCGGCUCCGUGCCGGCCAUCGCCGCCUGCUCCCCGGACGCCGCCCGCGAGGUGCUCAAGACCCACGAGGCGGCGUUCCUGGACCGCCCAAAGCCCACGGCGGUGCACCGCCUGACGUACGGCGGGCAGGACUUCUCCUUCUCGCCGUACGGUCCAUACUGGCGCUUCAUGAAGCGCGCGUGCGUGCACGAGCUCCUGGCCGGCCGCACGCUGGACCGGCUGCGCCAUGUCCGCCGCGAGGAGGUGUCCCGCCUCGUGCGCUCCCUGUCCCGCAGCGCGGCCGACGGCGGCGGCGCGCCCGUCGACCUGAACGCCGUGCUCAUGGGCGUCACGGGCGACAUCAUCUCGCGGAUGGUCAUGAGCCGGCGGUGGACCGGCGACGACAGCGCCACCGAGGAGAUGAGGAGCGUCGUCGCCGAGACCGCCGAGAUCACGGGCGUGUUCAACCUGCAGGACUACAUCGGCGUGUUCAAGCAUUGGGACGUGCAGGGCCUGGGCAAGCGCAUCGACGCGGUGCACCGCAAGUUCGACGCCAUGAUCGAGCGGAUACUGACGGCCAGGGAUGCUGAGAGGCAGCAGCGGCGGCGGCAUAAGGAGGCGGCGGACGGCGCCGCCGGCGAGGGCGACAAGAAGGACCUGCUUGACAUGCUCUUUGACAUGCACGAGGACGAGGCCGCCGAGAUGCAGCUCACCAGAGAUAACAUCAAGGCCUUCAUGCUGGUACGUCCAUCGUUUUUUUUUAGUGUUGCGCAGAUCUAAUCAAGCAUCAUAUCGGGUUAAGCGACGAACAAAGAAAAAUAUUUCCUACCAUGUACUUGAUGGAAGCUACGAUUUCAUAAAAUCUGUGUAAAAUACGGGUGAAUGGCCCGAUCGUGAAAAAUAAAAUAAAAUCUGUGUACCGUUUGACUCGGUAAUGAAAUUGUUUGCCGGCGGAUCAUAUGUUAUACUAUAAAAAUCUUGCAGGACAUCUUCGCGGCCGGCACGGAUACGACGACGAUCACAUUGGAAUGGGCGCUGUCGGAGCUGAUCAACAACCCGGCCGUCCUCCGGCGAGCUCAGGCGGAGGUGGACGCCGUGGUGGGCGCGUCCCGGCUGGCCGACGAGUCAGACAUCCCACGCCUCCCCUACCUGCAGGCCAUCGCCAAGGAGACUCUGCGCCUUCACCCAACAGGCCCGCUGGUGGUGCGGCGAUCCAUGGAGCCCUGCAAGGUGUCCGGCUACGACGUGCCGGCCGGCGCGACGGUGUUCGUGAACGUGUGGGGGAUCGGGCGUGACCCGGUGUGCUGGGCGCCGGACCCGCUGGCGUUCCGGCCGGAGCGGUUCCUGGAGGGUGAAGGGGGAGGAGAGAGCGCGGGGCUGGACGUGCGCGGGCAGCACUUCCACCUGCUGCCGUUCGGGUCCGGGCGGCGGAUAUGCCCCGGCGCGUCGCUGGCCAUGCUCGUGGUGCAGGCGGCGCUGGCGGCACUGGUGCAGUGCUUCGAGUGGGCGCCCGUGGGCGGCGCGCCCGUGGACAUGGAGGAAGGUCCGG